RNAcentral lists this ribosomal RNA (475 nucleotides) under uncultured bacterium. RNAcentral describes it as "bacterial SSU rRNA". It matches the Rfam family "Bacterial small subunit ribosomal RNA", at positions 18 to 518 of the family's 1533-position model. The record is from RNAcentral.
CUUGGUUCAGGAUUAACGCUGGCGGCGUGCCUAAUACAUGCAAGUCGAAUGGUAGCAAUACCAUGGCGAACGGGUGAGUAACACGUAGGUAACCUGUCUUUAAGACGAGGGUAACCGUUGGAAACGACGGAUAAUACUCGAUAGGUGAUUUGAGGGCAUCCUUGGAUCAUUAAAGAUUUAUCACUUAGAGAGGGGCCUGCGGCGCAUUAGCUAGAUGGCGGUGUAAUGGACCACCAUGGCGAUGAUGCGUAGCCGGACUGAGAGGUUGAACGGCCACAAUGGAACUGAGAACGGUCCAUACUCCUACGGGAGGCAGCAGUAGGGAAUUUUCGGCAAUGGGCGAAAGCCUGACCGAAGCAACGCCGCGUGAACGAAGAAGUAUUUCGGUAUGUAAAGUUCUUUUAUCGGGGAAGAAAAUAUUCAAAUUGACGGUACCUGAUGAAUAAGCUCCGGCUAACUACGUGCCAGCAGCAGC